Molecule: ribosomal RNA, 266 nt
Filed under: uncultured bacterium
Lineage: Bacteria
Description: partial 16S ribosomal RNA
Rfam family: Bacterial small subunit ribosomal RNA
Source: RNAcentral
GUCCACGCUGUAAACGAUGAUCACUGGGUGUAGCGGGUACUCAUUCCUGCUGUGCCGUAGCUAACGCGUUAAGUGAUCCGCCUGGGGAUUACGGUCGCAAGACUAAAACUCAAAGGAAUUGACGGGGGCCCACACAAGCGGUGGAGUAUGUGGUUUAAUUCGACGCAACGCGCAGAACCUUACCUGGGCUUGACAUCCCCGGACAACCCUGGAAACAGGGCCUUCCCCUUCGGGGGAUCGGGUGACAGGUGCUGCAUGGCUGUCGU